Molecule: ribosomal RNA, 1275 nt
Filed under: Lysinibacillus cresolivorans
Lineage: Bacteria; Bacillati; Bacillota; Bacilli; Caryophanales; Bacillaceae
Description: bacterial SSU rRNA
Rfam family: Bacterial small subunit ribosomal RNA
Source: RNAcentral
AUUGACGUUAGCGGCGGACGGGUGAGUAACACGUAUGGGCAACCUACCCUAUAGUUUGGGAUAACUCCGGGAAACCGGGGCUAAUACCGAAUAAUCUCUUUUGCUUCAUGGUGAAAGACUGAAAGACGGCUUCUCGUGGUCCUUUUAGGAGGGGCCCGCGGGGCUUUACUUAGUGGGGGAGGUACCGGUUCACCAAGGCAACAAGGCGUAGCCAACCGGAAAGGGGGAUCGGCCACCCGGGAACGAAAACACGGCCCAAAUUCUACCGGAAGGCACCAUUAGGAAAUCUUCAACAUGGGGCGAAGGCUGAUGGAACCACCGCCCCGGGAUUGAGAAAGGUUUCCGGAUCGUUAACCUCUGUGGUAAGGAAGAACCAGGUCCAGAAUUACUGGGUGGUACCUGGACGGUACCUAAUAAGAAGGCCACGCUUACUAACUGCCCACCAGCCGCGGUAAUACGUAAGGUGGCAAGCGUGUCCGGAAUUAUUGGGCGUAAAGCGCGCGCAGGCGGUCCUUUAAGUCUGAUGUGAAAGCCCACGGCUCAACCGUGGAGGGUCAUUGGAAACAGGGGGACUUGAGUGCAGAAGAGGAAAGUGGAAUUCCAAGUGUAGCGGUGAAAUGCGUAGAGAUUUGGAGGAACACCAGUGGCGAAGGCGACUUUCUGGUCUGUAACUGACGCUGAGGCACGAAAGCGUGGGGAGCAAACAGGAUUAGAUACCCUGGUAGUCCACGCCGUAAACGAUGAGUGCUAAGUGUUAGGGGGUUUCCGCCCCUUAGUGCUGCAGCUAACGCAUUAAGCACUCCGCCUGGGGAGUACGGUCGCAAGACUGAAACUCAAAGGAAUUGACGGGGGCCCGCACAAGCGGUGGAGCAUGUGGUUUAAUUCGAAGCAACGCGAAGAACCUUACCAGGUCUUGACAUCCCGUUGACCACUGUAGAGAUAUAGUUUCCCCUUCGGGGGCAACGGUGACACGUGGUGCAUGGUUGUCGUCAGCUCGUGUCGUGAGAUGUUGGGUUAAGUCCCGCAACGAGCGCAACCCUUGAUCUUAGUUGCCAUCAUUUAGUUGGGCACUCUAAGGUGACUGCCGGUGACAAACCGGAGGAAGGUGGGGAUGACGUCAAAUCAUCAUGCCCCUUAUGACCUGGGCUACACACGUGCUACAAUGGACGAUACAAACGGUUGCCAACUCGCGAGAGGGAGCUAAUCCGAUAAAGUCGUUCUCAGUUCGGAUUGUAGGCUGCAACUCGCCUACAUGAAGCCGGAAUCGCUAGUUUU